AUACACCUUAGUUUAAGAAAAACACUAUUUUUGUAAUAUAGAGUUAAUAUUCAUGUGUAUAC
Molecule: transfer RNA, 62 nt
Filed under: Armadillidium nasatum
Lineage: Eukaryota; Metazoa; Arthropoda; Malacostraca; Isopoda; Armadillidiidae
Description: tRNA-Thr
Source: RNAcentral